UGGCGAACGGGUGAGUAACACGUGAGUAACCUGCCCCUUACUUUCCUGGAUAACUGCUCGAAAGGGUAGCUAAUACGGGAUAUUCUGACCUGCCUGCAUGGGUUGGUUUGGAAAGGUUAUUUUUUCUGGUAAGGGAUGGGCUCGCGGCCUAUCAGCUUGUUGGUGGGGUGAUGGCCUACCAAGGCUUUGACGGGUAGCCGGCCUGAGAGGGUGGACGGUCACACUGGGACUGAGAUACGGCCCAGACUCC
RNAcentral lists this ribosomal RNA (250 nucleotides) under uncultured Actinomycetales bacterium. RNAcentral's name for it is "partial 16S ribosomal RNA". It matches the Rfam family "Bacterial small subunit ribosomal RNA", at positions 96 to 339 of the family's 1533-position model. The record is from RNAcentral. Lineage: Bacteria; Bacillati; Actinomycetota; Actinomycetes; Actinomycetales.